Molecule: long non-coding RNA, 2021 nt
Filed under: Homo sapiens (human)
Lineage: Eukaryota; Metazoa; Chordata; Mammalia; Primates; Hominidae
Description: HSALNT0127763
Source: RNAcentral
GCAGAAAAAUCCUCGCCAGAAGCCCAGCAGAUACCAGUGCCAUGCUUCUUGUACAGCCUACAGAAACACAAAACUGAUCCUGUUGGAUAUAUUUUUGUUGAGGACUACGCUGGACUUUUUCUUGAGGACUACCUGGCUGGGUAUUCCCUGGACUCAAACACAGCCAUACCACAUUUGGAAGACAAAUUGGAAAAUGUGUAAUACUGAAGUGGAUUAAAGAUAGACACAAAUUUUUGACACUGUUCUCAUCAAAAGGUGCUGAUAACCUUCAGAACAUGGCAGCUGCUUUCCUUCUGCCUCCCAGAACUCACAACUUCCCUUUGGACCAACUCCAAUCUGAAAUUAUGUAGAAAGGGAGAGUCUGAAAAACAUAGUCCCAAACAUAACCAAGUAGACAAUAGAACAAUCUGGCACAUUGAUUGGUAUUUUGACUUAACCGCCAGAUCACCAGCAGCUCAUUGUAGGCAGGCGCAAGUAAAUAUCUCACCUCAAAUGCAACAAGUACAAAAUGAAUGCAUCAUAGUGUCCCAGGCUUCCAUUAAACAAAAACAAAUAAAUAAAACAAACAAAAAGCAAUCUUUUAUCCCUCAGCUUUAUUAAUGCAUAACUAACAAAUAAAAAUGGUAUAUAUAUUUAUGGUGUACAUCAUGACAUUUCUUUCCGUGUAUACAAAAAGCAAUCUUUCUGAGUACUGCUCAGUUACCACUACCUCUAAGUGAUCCUGUGUAUUCCACACCCUAAGUGUCCAUCUGACCUUCCUCACUGCCCUGUGUCCCAGCAGUCUCUGCCUUCUAUCAAGCUUUCCUCUUUGCUUUCCCGCAUUAAUGAAGUGCUCCUCUCUCUUGCCACCCUGCCUCCAAUCUCGCCCUGCUCCAAACCUUCCAUUAAACCACAUGAAUCUUUCUAAAAUGUAAAAUUCUGCUUAUUUUACUUAAAUUAUUUUAGUGACUCCGUAUCACCUAUCAUAUACAUCUUUCUUGGUGUGAUAUGAAAGACCCCUCAUAUAUAUUCUGACCCCCACCUACAUUUUUAGCCCCUCUCCUGUCCUAAUCCCAAAUGCACUGUGCCCCAACUAUUUUAAACUAUUUGUAAAACCCUGAUUAUAGGAUUAUGUCAACACAGGAGUCUGUGUGCCUUCCUCCCCUUGCAAAUACAGUUGCCUGACAAACUCCUUCUCAUCCCAUAGGAUUUGACUCAAACAUGACCUUCUUUGUGGUGUCCUCCUUGUUUCCUCACCUUCUCCCAAUCCCCAAAGUCAGUCCAUAACAUUCUCCUAACAGUGGAUAGCAUGUGCCAUGCUGUACCAGGUCUGCUGAUUUACAUGUCUGUCUUCUGUGCUAGUUGUGAGCUCCUCAAUGUUAAGGACCACAUCUCAUUCAUCUUUGUAGUCCCAGACACUAACACUUCCCAGGUGCAUGGUAGGGGCUCAAUAAACAUUUGGUUAAGAAAUUAAUUGAUGAAUCACAAGAUCUGACAUGUUUAAAUAUUUUAUUCCAUAUUUAUAGCUGCUUCCAUACAAAUUAUGAUUCCCAUAAAACAUAGGUUUACAUUUACCAAAAAAAAAAUUAAUUUGGGGGUAAUCCAAUACAUGUACAUGGCCAAAUAAUGAAAUUCAGUUUAAAUCUUGAAAUGGCCCUAAAUCAUAUGACCUCAUUGAUCAGAUUAAUAAGAUUAUUUCUAAAUCUCAAUUUCACCAGUGAUGUUUAAACAUAUUUUUGACCUGCCAUUGGAAUACAGAACAACAAAGGAAACAUCUGGUUGUUCUUAACUUUGGGGAGACAAAUCCAUUUGUUAACAGUAGCAAUAGGAGAGCUGACAGAACCUGAUAACAGCUCCAACACAGGGAGCUCAGCCCACAACAGAUGGACCAGACACUUCAGGGAAAGCUUUAAAAAGAUGUCUUUUCUAAUUCAGGUUAUACACUCCUUGAAAGUUCCUUCAACAUAAGCAUGAAAGUUUGCAGAUGAUUUUAUCAGGUCUGACAGCUUUUUUCUAGAGGUUAGUUUGCAAUUGCCUCUCGG